Cyprinus carpio carpio is the source of this 1037-nucleotide long non-coding RNA. Lineage: Eukaryota; Metazoa; Chordata; Actinopteri; Cypriniformes; Cyprinidae. The record is from Ensembl.
GCAUGUUCCUGAAGUUGUGCUCGAUGUUUAGCCAACCCUGGUUCUUGAUGUGCAGCCUUUUAACUUCUGUGCUCGACGUGCAGUUUUUAUCCUUUUGUAUAGGCUGAUUUAUUAAGAGGUUUUACACACUGUCAGGAAAGUGGGGCAGGCAAACAUUUAUUGCUGCAGUACCUUCAAUGGGCUGAUGGCUGUGUUGGAAUGCUGAAUAUCCGGUAAAUGCAGUAUAUUACAUUGAGGCCAAUUUGGUUAUGAGUUUGAUGCAAUUAAUAAACUUCCUUUGUGGAUGUGGUUAAUAUUUGUGCUCUUUGUUUAUAGUAUCUUCUCUGUAUCUAUCAUGUUUGGUCUUGGGAUUAAGCGCUGAGAUUGGGUAACUGUGCUGAAGUUGUACUUUUGUUAAAGUAUGUUUUGUUGUUCUUUUAUUGCGGGUUAUAUUGAUGCGUAUUAACUUGAGUGUGUAGUGGCUUUGUAUAGGGCCGGGCCUGCAUCGGCACUUAACCUCCCCGGGUGUAGGUGAUUUGGGUGGAGUGGCACUGCUGUGUGGUGAUCGGCGGUGCAUAAGAGCAGGCCCGACCCUCCUUGCCAUUGAGGAGAGCUAUUUUCUACUGUUGUGGAUUUUAUUAUUGAUGCAUGUUUUUUUUUUUUUGAUUGUUUUUAAUGUUUUGCUUAGGAAUAAAAUUGUGAUAUUCAACCAACUACGUUUACGGUUUAAAAAAAAAUUAAUACUUGAUUUGUGGAGGGCUCCUCCUGCCCUAAAUAAGGAGGAGGCGUAGUCAGUUUAUAGUUUCUUACACUACAUUGAGAUGCACCUGUAUGUGUUUCUGGGUGCUCCUCAAACAGCUGCAUCCUACCGAGGCUGCGUCCUUCCUAGUUCAGUCCUUCAGAGUCUUGUAGGAUAGAGUCCUCCUUAGCAUUAAACGCUAGGAGACAGGGCUGUCCAAACUCAGUCCUGGAGGAGCCGGUGUCCUGAACAGUUUAGUUCCAACCCCGAUUAAACACCUGAACCAGCUAAUCAAGCUCCUACUACUAGGCAUACUAUU